GCCAGGAUGGCGGAAUUGGUAGACGCGCAGGAUUUAGGAUCCUGUACCGCAAGGUGUGUGGGUUCGAUUCCCUCUCCUGGCA
RNAcentral lists this transfer RNA (82 nucleotides) under Candidatus Woesebacteria bacterium. RNAcentral describes it as "tRNA-Leu". It matches the Rfam family "tRNA". From Rfam's summary of the family: Transfer RNA (tRNA) molecules are approximately 80 nucleotides in length. Their secondary structure includes four short double-helical elements and three loops (D, anti-codon, and T loops). Lineage: Bacteria; Candidatus Woeseibacteriota. The record is from RNAcentral.